UCAAAACAACACUUGUAUUACAUAUUAAUAUUAUACAACCAACUCUUGCCCCACAAGUCCAGGGUCGAUCGUCUUACAACAUUACUACCGAGUCUAACUUUAUUACAUAAAGGGAAGUCUGAUAUCAGACUAUUAUAAUAACUAUAGAUCGUACUACCAAGCGGCGUAGUCUAGCAGUCUCAGCUUGGGUGAUGCGCCUUUUCCCUGCUUU
Molecule: long non-coding RNA, 211 nt
Filed under: Daucus carota (carrot)
Lineage: Eukaryota; Viridiplantae; Streptophyta; Magnoliopsida; Apiales; Apiaceae
Description: long non-coding RNA (DCAR_LNC006429)
Source: RNAcentral